This 4807-nucleotide long non-coding RNA is filed under the name Cricetulus griseus (Chinese hamster). RNAcentral describes it as "lncRNA (ENSCGRG00015040067.1)". The record is from RNAcentral. Lineage: Eukaryota; Metazoa; Chordata; Mammalia; Rodentia; Cricetidae.
GGAAUUGCACCCCAGUCCUCUGGAAGAGCAGCCAAUGCUCUUAACCAGUGAGCCAUCUCUCCAGCUUGUAAGCAUACCAUUUUAUCUGAUUCAUUUGUCCUUUUGUCUAUCCAUCAUGCAUAUAUGAAGAACUUAUUCCAUGUUGGGCACUGGUAAAUGAAUGAAACAGGACAUGAUACUCAAAUUCUGGUGUGUAUAAAAAAUACCUAGUAAACUUGUUAAUAUUACCAUAUCAGUUGCAUUUUGUAUAACUAUGACAAAAAAACUCACAAGGAGGAAUUAUUAACUGUAGCUCAUGGUUUCUGAAGUUCAAGCUAUUGUUUCUUGGAGCCAUGUGAUUGGGAAGAACAUCAUGGGGGUGACAGGAAGCCACGAGCAGGACAGGAAGAGGUUGUAGAUAGACACUGCCAAGACCCAAGGCUAGAGAAAUGCUUCCUCCAAUUCAGCCCCUCUCCCUAACAUUUCCAGAACCGCCACAAAAAACACUACUAGCCAACAAUUUAAGCCCUAACACACGAGCCUGAGGGGUAGGGAGCAUCUCAUAUUUAAACCUUUUCCCAAGCCUAUCCUUUACAAUCAGUAGGUAAAGGGAAUAUAUGUAUUUUAUAACAAUCUCACCAUUUGGUUCUGAUUCACAACAACAAAAUAGAUCUAAUAAUCUGUGGGGAAAACUAAUGUAAUAAAAUGUAAAAGGUAUCAGAAGUAUGUAUGGGAUAAAAAAGUGAAGUAUUCAUCAGGGACAGUGAAUAGUAAAUGUUAUUAUAUUUGUAUUUUACCAUAGCAGAAAGCUGUACACACAAUGUUAUUGUAAAGUUCACCAAUGUUGGUGUUUUGGUUUGGGUUUUAAUAUAUUAUCCAUAUGAUUUACCCCCACUAAUACUGUUGAAAUGUCUUUGAAAGGAUCAUAAAAGUAAAAGACUGCUGUAAACACACAAGUAUUAUUCCAUCAGUGCGUAUCACUCCCUCUAGCAGGUGUGGGGAAGGUGUGUGAUGUUUCCCACUUGGAACUCUGGGGAGCUAUUCGGUGGCAUUGCAGGGCAGGGCUGGUUCUUUCAGAAAUAAAGGCAUGUUCUUCCCCCCGCCCCUCUGUCUAUGGAGCUCCUUUGCAGCCCAUUGCUAAAACAAGUUUGAAUGGUAUUGGAAAAGUUUUAUAUUAAAACCCCAAGGCUGACAUAAAGCACAAAACCCCAAGCCUUACACUGGAACCACUUUCUUUUGAAUGAUAACUGGUAGGUUGUUUUCUUUUUCUUUUUUCUCUCAAAAAGAGUUACUUAUUGACCACACAUGCCAAGUGACCUUGAACAGUAAGGAUGCAGAACAGUCUAAUUCCUAAUGAAGGGAAACUGAGAUGUUUGAUUUUCUAAUUUAAGAGGUAGAGGUAUAGAUUAUGGACAACUAUUAGCAAGCUCUAGUCAAAAAUAGCACAAGAAAUUUGAAAAUCUUUGAGAAUUUCUCCAGAGUGCCUCUUCAGAAUGUUUCUUGGUCCCCUGACUUAAUAGUUCUAGGAGAGUUUGAAAAGGUCCAGCCGGAGCACCAGAACCCCCGUUUUCUCUCCUCUACCUGGACAUCCAGAGAAACUACACAUCCUGACCUCCUUUAUGUCAUGUAUGGUCAUAUGACUAAGCUCUACCCACCGCACGUGAGUGCAAGUGACGUGCAUUACAGUAUUUCUGCCUUGGUUCUCCAUGUCUUCUCCAUCAGCUUCUUGAUGAUGGCAUCACCCAGACAGCCUUAAAAGCCUCAAGCAGCCUGAAUCCUUGGAUAACUGUGUGGAACAGAGGCAUCCCCUCCCAUUUCUUCAUAUUCUAGUGUCCAUGUGAUACCUGAGUGAAGCUUCUGGAAUGUUGUGGUAUGUGGAUAAAGGCAGCUGGGCUGCCCUCACACAGGGUGCAAGUACAUAGGAGAGUGUGGACUGUAAUGACAUGGUCCCGUCUGCUAUUUUUGGAGCCAAAGUCCUGAACAUCGUGCAUAAUUCUCAGGGAAAUGUUGCCCUUACUGUAAUCUCCCAUUGGGAAAAUUGUGUGGGAAAAGCUCCUCUGACUCCAAGGGGCAGGCAUAAGCUGUCAGGAAUAUUCUAACUCUCCAUGAAGUCUUAAGGACAUGGUCCUUCCACAACACAGAGGACAAGACAAACACUCAGAAGUUGUAAUGCCAAAAUUCGGAGAAAAUAAAAUGAGAAAAGCAAACCAGAGAUGUGGUCAUGAAGGCACUUGGCCUGCAGUGGAAACAGAACUAAAGCAUAGGGUUACCCUGUUAAUCAGCCUGAGCCACUUACUGAGACGACUCUUGAGAUCUAAUGACAAAGUAAAAAGGGCUGAAUUAUAAUUCAGUGGUAAAGUGCUUGCCUCACAUGUGCAAUGCCCUAGGCUCUAACCACAGUACCACUAAAUAAGCAAUACAAUACACUAAUAAUCUUUAAAAAAUGGUCUGACCCACAACUAACCACUGAACUGAACUGGAAUCCAGUUGCAGAGAAGGACAAGUGAAGAGCAAUGGGUCCCGACCAGGCUGGUGAAACCCACAGAAACAACUAACCUGAACAUUGGGGAACUCUUGCUCCCCAGACUGAUAGCUGGGGUACCAGCAUGGGACUGAUCCAGACCCCAGGAACAUGGGUUUCAGUGAGGAAACCUCUGAAUUCUAUGGGACCUGAUGUAGUAGUUCAGUACUUAUCUCUAGCAUAGGUGUGGACUUUGGGAGCUCAUUCCACAUAGAGGGAUACUCCCUGAACCAAAACACAUGGGGUUGGGCCUAGGCCCUAUCCCAAAGGAUAUGAUAGACUCUGAUGACACCCUAUGGAAGGCCUCACCAUCCAGGGGAAGCAGAAAGGAUAUGUGAUAGGUAGGGUUUUAGUUGGAUGGGCGUGGUAGGGGAAGGACAGGAAGGAGAAGGAAACUAGGAUUGUCAUGUAAAACAAUCUUGUUUCUAAUUCAAAUUUAAAAAAAUCUGGGAAAAAAAGAUGGUCUGAGCUCCUAGUAUGUCUCCCUGCCCUGGAAGCCACCUUUUACACUCCAAAACUCUACCAGCUAUGUGCCACCUCCCAGUGGGUCUGUAUGGUGCUGGUCAUUUCAAUCUCCUUACACAGAGAAACCAUUUAGAAAUUUACACCUUGAUUAUAUUUUCAUUUUAUUUAUUUCUAGCUGUUUAUUUUGUGUGUGUGUGUGUGCAUGCCAUGGUGCAUGCGUGGAGGUCAAGGGUAAAUUUUGAGAAUCUGUCCUCUCCUUUAACCAUGGUUUCUGGGAAUUGAACUUAGAGCAUCAGGCUUGCAUGCCAUGUACCUUCAUUCACUGAGCCAUCUCACUAGACCUGGAUUAUAUUUUUAACAUCAAUUUUACUCUUAGCCAAAAUAUUCUCAGUCAGCCAUCCUUUAGUUAUUUGGGCUCUUUCUCUUCUCCCUCCCUCUCUCUCUCCUUGGUCCAUUAACUAAAAUAGUUACCAUCUGUUCAAAAGGUAUUUUGUACCAGACAUGGCCUACAUUAUACUGUUUCAUCUUCACAUGAAGUAGGUCCUGUUAGUAUACCCAUUCUACAGAUGAAAGAAGCUGAGGCCCCAAAUUGUUAAGCAACCUUGCCAAGCUCAUGUAGCUAGAAUGAGGCAAGAGCAGGACUCUCCACAAACUGACCUUGCAACCUUUACCUUUAACCAUUGCCCAACCUAUCUCCAUUUCCAUCCAGCAGAUUUUUGUUCAUUAGUUAAUCCUUUAGAGAGGCUAGUUAAUAGAAUUCCGUUUAUGAGAACUUCCUAUUUUACCCUUUCAGUGAAGUACUUGGGAGGAGGGUCCUCCUCCCAAGUAGGGUACUGUGGGACUCACUGUCAGGUACAGCUCCUUUCUCUCAGUCUUAGCAUGGUGCAUGCUUGGGUUUGGGCCAUUGCCACAGUCUUCCGGGAAGGAGAAGCUAGAAGAAAGGCUUCUUGGCUCUGGCACACUCUUAACAAGCAAGAGAGGAGCCUCUCGGUGGGGCCAAUCUGUCACUGGCUCUAUAUUUAGCACCAUCUGCCAGGAAUAUUUCCAACGGCCUAUUUUGAUACAUAGCACUUUGUGCAAAUGAGAGUGCUCCGCCACUAGCUCGUGGGAAACCAAGGGCAUUAAGUGGGUUUUCUGGCUCAUAUUGUGUUGCAAGUUGGUCCUUCUGCCAGACUUCAAAUGAAAUACGGAGAAGGAGUGAGGUAGAGUUUUUCCCAGGGUGUUAGUCCCAGGGGCCCACGGUUUUAGUGGCUCAAAAAUCAACCAGAGCAGGCAGCUGGAGCGAUGUUGGAGAUGGUUCUUGCCGGAGUGAGGGGACAGGACUACACAGACCUGAGGCUCUUUCGCUGCAUGCUCAACGCAGAGUUUCCCAGCUCCAUCUCUGAAACCAAUACAGACUCUUGUAGCCAUAGCUAACCCCAGCACAUCCUUCUUGGAUCUCAGGCUCCCUUUUCUUGAGUAGCAUUCAGUUGCACUCAUCUGGUCCUCUUCUUCCUUUAAGGCAUCCUGGUGAGGAAGAUUCUAUUGUUCCAUUACACAGAACAUCUGCAGAUCAACCAGGUGUUCCUGGGCAGGGUCUCUGUCUCUCAAACAGUGCAGGAGCGAGGGCAUCAGGAGGUGCUGGAGGGGUUCCCUCCCUCAGAGACUGAGCUGAACCUUAAACAAGCCCUGAAGCUCCAAAUUGAGGGCUCUGAUCCCAGCUUCAACUCCAAGAAGGAAACGCCCUUGUGAGAGUUUCCCCUUCUGUGAAACAGAAGGCAUUGUGGUCAGAAAGGCCAUCCAGCUGCCAGAUGGAAGCAAGACACCUGAGGAUGUGCUGAUGAGACUGUGACUCCCUCAGUA